ACUCUCCCCACUCCCUCCUUUUCACUUUCCCCGCUCCCUCCUUUUCACUUUACCCGCUCCAUAAAGCCCUUUCAGUUACCUUUCACCAAAAUUACUCUGGCCAAAAACCUUUUCACCAAAAUUUGUGUUUCUCCAUCGGCAGAUCGUCGGUGUGUUCUUCGUGCAAAUUGCAGUCUCAACCUCACCAGCGUCGCAACCCAUCUAUCUCCGGAAUGCUUCGGAAACCACGAUUCGUUAUCAGGCCUCAAUCUACACCAGGCAAUAUCCUUAAUUGUUUUUGUAGGGAUUAAUACUGAAAGUGGAGCAACACAUAGUUCUCAUAUUUUGACACUAAGUCCAUCCAAUUUAGGCAACGAAUUAAAACAUUCAGCACAUAGAUGUGUUUCUGCAACCAACAAGUCCUUUGGUGGAAGCUGUCGGACCAUCACAAAUUUUUAAUGUUUAGGAUCUGUUAGCCGAUCCUAGAUUUUUUGGGAUUCAGAUGCACGCGUAUGUAAUUUUAACUGCUUUAUUUUCUCUUGGUUUUGUUUUUCAGAUUAACCAGGUUAAAUUUCAGCACAAGAUUGAGAAAGGGAGCGCUCUCGCACUAGGACUUCUUGCCAUCAAGGAUCAGAGUCUAAUUAUAUAGGUUGUUGGUAAAGUUACAAAAGGAUGGCUCCGAACAAGAAGAAUUGGAAAAAAGCAUCUUUCAGUUAUUAAUAAACUUGGAAUUGUGAUCACUGUUAUUAAUUGGAAGUUCUGUUUCUAGUUCUUAUUAUUUUCCUUUUUGUUUGCUAGUGAUAAUAUCAAAUACUAUUUAUUCACUUCUGUAUCUCCUUUUUGGGAUCACUGUUAACCAAGUAACUACCAUUAAGGCUUUUCAGAAAAUGAUCUUUUAAUUGACUGAAUCUGAAUGUUAUUUUAGUUACCACACUAAUAUUCAUCAUUAAUUUUUUACUGUUUUUUCACAGUUCUAUUACUCUCUUUUUUGUACAUCAUAUUAGGGUAUUUAGUGUUGAUAUCUUUAGCCUUUUUAAAUUCUGAAUUCCGUUGUAGAAUAUAUGGUUCUAAUUCCUAGAGACCAUUAAAUAUUCAAGAAAUAUUUGUGACUGAAUGUGGGUUCGGUAUCAGCAACUGCAACCAGUUCAUAU
Gastrolobium bilobum is the source of this 1130-nucleotide long non-coding RNA. RefSeq lists it as uncharacterized. The record is from RefSeq and is a predicted model, not a curated record. NCBI's taxonomy places the organism in Eukaryota, Viridiplantae, Streptophyta, Magnoliopsida, Fabales, Fabaceae. The transcript is spliced from 4 exons.